CUUGUUGAUCCUGCCGGACCUGACUGCUAUCGGAUUGGUACUAAGCCAUGCGAGUCGUUGUAGCAAUACAAGGCGAACUGCUCAGUAACACGUAGUUAACCUAACCUAUGGAUGGGGAUAACCUCGGGAAACUGAGAAUAAUACCCAAUAGAUCACAGUGCCUGGAAUGGCCUGUGAUUGAAAUGAUUUAUCGCUGUAGGAUGGGACUGCGGCCUAUCAGCUUGUUGGUGGGGUAAUGGCCCACCAAGGCUAUAACAGGUACGGGCUCUGAGAGGAGGGGCCCGGAGAUGGGUACUGAGACACGGACCCAGGCCCUAUGGGGCGCAGCAGGCGAGAAACCUUUGCAAUGUGCGAAAGCACGACAAGGUUAAUCCGAGUGUCUCCUGCUAAAGGAGUCUUUUGUCAGUUGUAGAAUCACUGGCGAAUAAGGGGUGGGCAAGUUCCGGUGUCAGCCGCCGCGGUAAAACCAGCACCUCGAGUGGUCAGGAGGUUUAUUGGGCCUAAAGCAUCCGUAGCCGGUUGCAUAAGUUUUCGGUUAAAUCUAUGCGCUCAACGUAUAGGCCGC
RNAcentral lists this ribosomal RNA (565 nucleotides) under uncultured archaeon. RNAcentral describes it as "bacterial SSU rRNA". It matches the Rfam family "Archaeal small subunit ribosomal RNA", at positions 4 to 575 of the family's 1478-position model. The record is from RNAcentral.